GCUCCUCUCCUCCCUCACUCUCUCUUAGUCUCAUCUCACUGUCUCUCUUUCUCACUCUCUUCCCGUUUCUGCACACACCGAUCACUCUCAUCUCAUUGCACCGAUCAUCAUCGCACAGCACAGCCGAUCUACUUCAUUCACAGGUGAUCUCGCAAGUGAUCUCUGAUUUUUUUCAUCAUCGCACAGCCGAUUUUUUUCAUCGCACAGCCGAUCACUCUCUUUCUCAUCUCAUCGCACCGAUCAUCAUCGCACAGCCGAUCUGCUUCACAGGGUUAAUCAACCAAAUGCAUGGAAUUAGAAUUGGAAUAUGUGAAAGUUGAAUUGGAUGUGAUUCAUGAAGAUGAAGUUUGAUAUCUUAGAAGUGUUUUAAUUUUAUUUCAUGGGUUUGUAUUGAAUGAAGUUUAAGUUUGACAACAAUUUUU
Non-coding RNA from Camellia sinensis, 422 nucleotides. NCBI's taxonomy places the organism in Eukaryota, Viridiplantae, Streptophyta, Magnoliopsida, Ericales, Theaceae. The record is from RefSeq and is a predicted model, not a curated record.